RNAcentral lists this ribosomal RNA (406 nucleotides) under uncultured bacterium. RNAcentral's name for it is "partial 16S ribosomal RNA". It matches the Rfam family "Bacterial small subunit ribosomal RNA", at positions 30 to 526 of the family's 1533-position model. The record is from RNAcentral.
AUUGAACGCUGGCGGCAUGCCUAACACAUGCAAGUCGAACGAGUGGCGGACGGGUGUGUAAUGUAUGGGAAACUGCCCGAUGGAGGGGGAUAACUACUGGAAACGGUAGUUAAUACCGCAUACCAUCGGAUGUGCCCAGAUGGGAUUAGCUAGUUGGUGGGGUAAAGGCUCACCUAGACGACGAUCCCUAGCUGGUCUGAGAGGAUGACCAGCCACACGGGACCUGGAACACGGUCCAGACUCCUACGGGAGGCAGCAUUGGGGAAUAUUGCACAAUGGGCGCAGGCCUGAUGCAGCCAGGCCGCGUGUAUGAAGAGGGCCUUGGGGUUGUAAAGUACUUUCAGCGAGGAGGCGUUACUCGCAGAAGAAGCGCCGGCUAACUCCGUGCCAGCAGCCGCGGUAAUUC